This 112-nucleotide ribosomal RNA is filed under the name Teloganopsis media. RNAcentral describes it as "partial 28S ribosomal RNA". The record is from RNAcentral. Lineage: Eukaryota; Metazoa; Arthropoda; Insecta; Ephemeroptera; Ephemerellidae.
GAAAUGUAGCGUAUAGGAGGGUCGUUACUCCCGAGGCGGGCGAGACCGGUCCAAGUCCCUCUUGAAGGGGGCCACGGCCCUGAGAAGGUGCCAGGCCUGUGGGACGGUCGCC